Molecule: ribosomal RNA, 778 nt
Filed under: uncultured Neocallimastigales
Lineage: Eukaryota; Fungi; Neocallimastigomycota; Neocallimastigomycetes; Neocallimastigales
Description: partial large subunit ribosomal RNA
Rfam family: Eukaryotic large subunit ribosomal RNA
Source: RNAcentral
UAUCUCUGUAGAGUCUGCAUAUCAAUAAGCGGAGGAAAAGAAACUAACUAGGAUUCCCUCAGUAACGGCGAGUGAAGCGGGAAGAGCUCAAAUUUGAAAUCUUCAAGGUUCUACCUUGACGAAUUGUAGUUUAAAGAAGUGUUUUCUGUUGGAUGUUUUGGUAAAAGUUCUUUGGAAUAGGACAUCAUAGAGGGUGAGAAUCCCGUAUUUGACCAUUAUUUCCAGCUUUGUGAUACACUUUCAAAGAGUCGGAUUGUUUGGGAAUGCAGUCCAAAAUGGGUGGUAAAUUUCAUCUAAAGCUAAAUAUUGGCGAGAGACCGAUAGCGAACAAGUACCGUGAGGGAAAGAUGAAAAGAACUUUGAAAAGAGAGUUAAACAGUACGUGAAAUUGUCAAAAGGGAAGCGUUUGACACCAGUGUUGUUUUCUCGGAAAUCAAUUAAAAAAGGCAGGAUUUUGUGUUGUAUUGACUUUAUCAGCUUUCUGCACUCUUUUCUUGUCUUUUUUAAUGCACUUUUCGUUUAACAAGUCAACAUCAAUUUCUUUUGUUGUAAAAGGGUCAUUGGAAGGUGGCUUUCUUUUCGGAGAAAGUGUUUAUAGCCUUUGGCCUCUGCAAUCGGAGAGAUUGAGGUCUGCAGCGUAGAUCCUUCGGGGCUAGAUACAUUAGAUGCUAAGUUAUAGCUUUUUAUAGACAACUUGUUGACUAUGAUUAAGUCAUGUAGCUUACUCGCUUAUGCCUAUUUUACCUACGCUUAGGAUGUUGACGAUCAGCUGAGCGCG